RNAcentral lists this ribosomal RNA (501 nucleotides) under uncultured bacterium. RNAcentral's name for it is "partial 16S ribosomal RNA". It matches the Rfam family "Bacterial small subunit ribosomal RNA", at positions 30 to 523 of the family's 1533-position model. The record is from RNAcentral.
AUUGAACGCUGGCGGCAGGCUUAACACAUGCAAGUCGAGCGGGGGAAGGUAGCUUGCUACCGGACCUAGCGGCGGACGGGUGAGUAAUGCUUAGGAAUCUGCCUAUUAGUGGGGGACAACAUCUCGAAAGGGAUGCUAAUACCGCAUACGUCCUACGGGAGAAAGCAGGGGAUCUUCGGACCUUGCGCUAAUAGAUGAGCCUAAGUCGGAUUAGCUAGUUGGUGGGGUAAAGGCCUACCAAGGCGACGAUCUGUAGCGGGUCUGAGAGGAUGAUCCGCCACACGGGGACUGAGACACGGCCCAGACUCCUACGGGAGGCAGAAGUGGGGAAUAUUGGACAAUGGGGGGAACCCUGAUCCAGCCAUGCCGCGUGUGUGAAGAAGGCCUUAUGGUUGUAAAGCACUUUAAGCGAGGAGGAGGCUACUUUAGUUAAUACCUAGAGAUAGUGGACGUUACUCGCAGAAUAAGCACCGGCUAACUCUGUGCCAGCAGCCGCGGUAA